Molecule: ribosomal RNA, 254 nt
Filed under: uncultured bacterium
Lineage: Bacteria
Description: partial 16S ribosomal RNA
Rfam family: Bacterial small subunit ribosomal RNA
Source: RNAcentral
GACGUAGGGCGCGAGCGUUGUCCGGAUUUAUUGGGCGUAAAGAGCUCGUAGGCGGUUCGGUAAGUCGGGUGUGAAAACUCCAGGCUCAACCUGGAGAUGCCACUCGAUACUGCUGUGACUUGAAUCUGGUAGGGGAGCACGGAAUUCCUGGUGUAGCGGUGAAAUGCACAGAUAUCAGGAGGAACACCGGUGGCGAAGGCGGUGCUCUGGGCCAGUAUUGACGCUGAGGAGCGAAAGCGUGGGGAGCGAACAGG